Molecule: long non-coding RNA, 239 nt
Organism: Amphibalanus amphitrite
Lineage: Eukaryota; Metazoa; Arthropoda; Thecostraca; Balanomorpha; Balanidae
Exons: 3
Source: RefSeq, a predicted model, not a curated record
ACCCCCUGCCAGCAUUGGCAGCACCGCCACCAGCACCGCCGGCCUCAGGACCAAGCCCACCACCAGCGGGCGUUGACGGAGGCGGGUGUGCGGCUCUGGCGCAGCUGAGCCGUCGACCGCCGGAGCCAAUCCGGCAGUCCGGCAUUUCAGCUGCCGCACACUCGCCCGUCACAGGAUCAGAGGCCUCCCAAGACAGGUGCAGCUGAGACGGCGAAGUUCACCACACCGCUCCUCGGGUG